RNAcentral lists this ribosomal RNA (457 nucleotides) under uncultured bacterium. RNAcentral's name for it is "bacterial SSU rRNA". It matches the Rfam family "Bacterial small subunit ribosomal RNA", at positions 33 to 507 of the family's 1533-position model. The record is from RNAcentral.
ACGCUGGCGGCGUGCUUAACACAUGCAAGUCGAACGGUAAGGCCCUUCGGGGUACACGAGUGGCGAACGGGUGAGUAACACGUGGGUGAUCUGCCCUGCACUUCGGGAUAAGCCUGGGAAACUGGGUCUAAUACCGGAUAGGACCAUGGACUUCACGGUUUGUGGUGGAAAGCUUUUGCGGUGUGGGAUGGGCCCGCGGCCUAUCAGCUUGUUGGUGGGGUAAUGGCCUACCAAGGCGACGACGGGUAGCCGGCCUGAGAGGGUGUCCGGCCACACUGGGACUGAGAUACGGCCCAGACUCCUACGGGAGGCAGCAGUGGGGAAUAUUGCACAAUGGGCGCAAGUCUGAUGCAGCGACGCCGCGUGAGGGAUGACGGCCUUCGGGUUGUAGACCUCUUUCAAUAGGGACGAAGCGCAAGUGACGGUACCUAUAGAAGAAGCACCGGCCAACUACGUG